AGCUUGCUUUAACUCAUGUCCAUCGAGUCAAUGAUGCCAUCGGAACACCUCAUUUAGUUUGCUCUUGAUUCACAAAAGAAGAAGAUGACUUAUGCUCCACCUCCCCUGAGUCAAGAAGUGCCAAGGAGUUCUUCACUUCUGUAGUUGGUAGGACUUCUGCAAACCACAAGCUCUGGAAAAAAGCAUAGGAACCAUAAAGAGGACUGGUCCUGAAAAGCACUGUGAAAUAAGCAGGAUAAUUAAGUAAAAGGAAGACCAGUUCUCAGUUUAAGGCUUUGGUCUCAUCUCCAAUCACAGAGAAUUCAGAGGAACUAACACAUGAAUUCCAAAGAAGCAGACUUCAUUUAGGUGACUACUGGGAAGAAAUUGUUAAUGCUACUGCUAAGCUGCUUCAGUCGUGUCUGACUCUGUGUGACCCCAUAGAUGGCAGCCCACCAGGCUCCCCUGUCCCUGGGAUUCUUCAGGCAAGA
Molecule: long non-coding RNA, 470 nt
Organism: Bubalus bubalis (water buffalo)
Lineage: Eukaryota; Metazoa; Chordata; Mammalia; Artiodactyla; Bovidae
Exons: 4
Source: RefSeq, a predicted model, not a curated record